AGGGAGGCCUGGUGUGCUGCAGUCCACGGGGUCACGAAGAGUCACGACUGAGUGACUGAACAGAACUAAACUGAACCUCACAAAUGUAUAAACCUCACUGAUGUAUUCCAGCUCCUAGAACACAGCCUGCCCAGGAAGAGUCACUGUGAAUAUUGGCUGGAUAAAUAACUCUCUGUGGAAAUCAGUGUUGUGGUGCCUUGUGACAACCUGGAAUAACUGACAAAAGUUAAUCAGCGAUGUCAUCAUAACACAUCACACUGUUCUGAUUUCAUUUUCAAAAAUGAUAUAAAAUUGGAGGAUUGGGAAAGAAAACAACAUGGUUCGUCUUUCCCAGUUUCAAACACCGGAGUCCUCAAGUUCUCCAGAUAUGUUAAAUGAAACAGAGUGUCUCACAUUAUGAUAAGCCUAUUCACCUCGGCUUUGUUCAAGUCCACAAAUGCAAUCAUUCCUGGACCAGGAACGAAGGGGAGUCCUAAACCAGACACGGGGCCUGUGGAGGAGAGCAG
RNAcentral lists this long non-coding RNA (506 nucleotides) under Capra hircus (goat). RNAcentral describes it as "lncRNA (ENSCHIG00000003983.1)". The record is from RNAcentral. Lineage: Eukaryota; Metazoa; Chordata; Mammalia; Artiodactyla; Bovidae.